This is a long non-coding RNA of Camelina sativa (false flax), 407 nucleotides long. RefSeq lists it as uncharacterized. The record is from RefSeq and is a predicted model, not a curated record. Lineage: Eukaryota; Viridiplantae; Streptophyta; Magnoliopsida; Brassicales; Brassicaceae.
UCAGUCUCUCUCUCGCAGUUUCUCUCUCGAUCAAAGUCUAUUGAUAAAAGGAAGGAGAAUGUCCUGUUUAUGCUAUGGAAUCAAAGGCGAUUGGGUCGGAGGAGAUCCGAAUCGGAGAGGAUUUAAUCUGGGGAGGCGAAAUUUUAGCUCUAUGAAAUUUUGGCCAUGUUUAUAAAGCAAGAGAGAAACGGGUUUACGUUCUGCUCUUACAUUGAACCUUCUGUGCUUUGUGUUUUUCCUUCCCGUGAACACGUUUUGUGUUUUUCUUUUCACAAUUGUUGUUCAAUAAACUUGUAUAUGUAGCAAACUAGAAUCGGCUACUCUUGAUUGUAAGCACUCUCAUAUAUCUUUUAUUUCACUUGUUGUCCAAUUCACUUUCUGUCUUAUCAAACACUCUAUAUCUUUUA